Molecule: transfer RNA, 91 nt
Organism: Saitoella complicata NRRL Y-17804
Lineage: Eukaryota; Fungi; Ascomycota; Saitoellomycetes; Saitoellales; Saitoellaceae
Rfam family: tRNA
About the family: Transfer RNA (tRNA) molecules are approximately 80 nucleotides in length. Their secondary structure includes four short double-helical elements and three loops (D, anti-codon, and T loops).
Source: Rfam
GCCUUCGUGGCUCAGCUGGUUAGAGCGCCCUGCUCAUAUCUGCUAACAAGCGGGUACGGGGAGAUCGCGAGUUCGAUCCUCGCCGAGGGCA